Molecule: small RNA, 1151 nt
Filed under: uncultured beta proteobacterium
Lineage: Bacteria; Pseudomonadati; Pseudomonadota; Betaproteobacteria
Description: bacterial SSU rRNA
Rfam family: Bacterial small subunit ribosomal RNA (bases 1-467)
Source: RNAcentral
GUCGUGAGAUGUUGGGUUAAGUCCCGCAACGAGCGCAACCCUUGUCAUUAGUUGCUACAUUUAGUUGGGCACUCUAAUGAGACUGCCGGUGACAAACCGGAGGAAGGUGGGGAUGACGUCAAGUCCUCAUGGCCCUUAUGGGUAGGGCUUCACACGUAAUACAAUGGCGCGUACAGAGGGUUGCCAAGGAGCGAUCUGGAGCCAAUCCCUUAAAGCGCGUCGUAGUCCGGAUUGCAGUCUGCAACUCGACUGCAUGAAGUCGGAAUCGCUAGUAAUCGCGGAUCAGCAUGUCGCGGUGAAUACGUUCCCGGGUCUUGUACACACCGCCCGUCACACCAUGGGAGUGGGUUUCACCAGAAGCCGGUCGCCUAACCGCAAGGGGGGCGCUGACCACGGUGAGAUUCAUGACUGGGGUGAAGUCGUAACAAGGUAGCCGUAUCGGAAGGUGCGGCUGGAUCACCUCCUUUCUAAGUCACGCGCUCUUCACCAGUACUCACCGUCUAUCGGUUGUUCUUUGUUGACCCACAGGGUCUGUAGCUCAGUUGGUUAGAGCACCGUCUUGAUAAGGCGGGGGUCGAUGGUUCGAAUCCAUCCAGACCCACCAACCAAUUGCCGCUCACAAAGGUCACCAGGGCACGCGGGGCCAUAGCUCAGCUGGGAGAGCGCCUGCUUUGCAAGCAGGAGGUCAUCGGUUCGAUCCCGAUUGGCUCCACCAGCAUGUCACCAGAGGAAUCAGCAUUCAGUCGCGCCUGCCAGGCGCCGCUGAAUGGUGCUUCUUCAUUGAAGUACCAAUCGGCUGCUCUUUAACAAUCUGGGAAAUGAAGGUAGUUGUUCUCGCGAAAGCGUUGCUUUCACGCGUUGCGGUUUGAUGCGUGGGGUGGUGCGAGUAGUGGGGACACUGGGUUAUGUAUUGCAUCGUGUCGUCACCGAGUUAAAUCGGUGGGGACGCACAAGCGUGAGAGUUGCCUAGUGACCGAGUGAAGGUGUGGGCGACUUUGGCCCGCAUCGCCCUGUGGGUGGGGGCAGCAAGGUUAUAGGGUCAAGCGAAUAAGUGCAUGUGGUGGAUGCCUUGGCAAUGAUAGGCGAUGAAGGACGUGACAGCCUGCGAUAAGCUGCGGGGAGCCGGCAAAUGGGCGCUGAUCCGCAGAUUU